Podarcis raffonei (Aeolian wall lizard) is the source of this 544-nucleotide long non-coding RNA. RefSeq lists it as uncharacterized. NCBI's taxonomy places the organism in Eukaryota, Metazoa, Chordata, Lepidosauria, Squamata, Lacertidae. The record is from RefSeq and is a predicted model, not a curated record. The transcript has 2 exons.
CAGCCCAAUCGCCUUCUAAAUCCGGCCCGCGGACAGUCCGGGAAUCAGCGUGUUCUUACAUGAGUAGAAUGUGUGCUUUUAUUUAAAAUGCAUCUCUGGGUUAUUUGUUGGGCAUAGGAAUUAGUUCAUUUUUUUUCUCUUCAAAAUAUAGUCCGGCCCCCCACAAGGUCUGAAGUACGGUGGACCAGCCCCCUGCUGAAAAGGUUUGCUGACCCUUGGCUUAGUGUGUCAUCCGUAUGUAGGGUCAGGGUUUAAAUUUCUUCUCAACAACCAACUUCAUUUAUUUGUGCGCGGUUUUGUAUCUGUUUUGUCCUGAAAUACAUUUUACUGCAUUUUUGAGCAGAUGACAAUAUUGAAAAAUUCAGAAAACUGUGUAAACUGCAUUUAUCCCAGAAGCAUGAAUCAAGGUGGGUUGCCUAAAAAUGUGAACUAAGCAAAAUCCUCAAGCAUCCCUAUCGGGGGAGGUUGCACCUACAAUUAUUUUUACAAUGGAUUGUCCCCCUUGUGUAUUAGAAAAUGGUGCUGUUAAAAGUCACACCCUUUU